GUCGAACGAUGAUCCCUAGCUUGCUGGGGGGAUUAGUGGCGAACGGGUGAGUAACACGUGAGUAACCUGCCCUUGACUCUGGGAUAAGCCUGGGAAACUGGGUCUAAUACUGGAUACGACCUUCUAUCGCAUGGUGGUUGGUGGAAAGCUUUUGUGGUUUUGGAUGGACUCGCGGCCUAUCAGCUUGUUGGUGGGGUAAUGGCCUACCAAGGCGACGACGGGUAGCCGGCCUGAGAGGGUGGACGGCCACACUGGGACUGAGACACGGCCCAGACUCCUACGGGAGGCAGCAGUGGGGAAUAUUGCACAAUGGGCGCAAGCCUGAUGCAGCGACGCCGCGUGAGGGAUGAAGGCCUUCGGGUUGUAAACCUCUUUCAGUAGGGAAGAAGCGAAAGUGACGGUACCUGCAGAAGAAGCGCCGGCUAACUACGUGCCAGCAGCCGCGGUAAUACGUAGGGCGCAAGCGUUAUCCGGAAUUAUUGGGCGUAAAGAGCUCGUAGGCGGUUUGUCGCGUCUGCCGUGAAAGUCCGGGGCUUAACUCCGGAUCUGCGGUGGGUACGGGCAGACUUGAGUGAUGUAGGGGAGACUGGAAUUCCUGGUGUAGCGGUGAAAUGCGCAGAUAUCAGGAGGAACACCGAUGGCGAAGGCAGGUCUCUGGGCAUUAACUGACGCUGAGGAGCGAAAGCAUGGGGAGCGAACAGGAUUAGAUACCCUGGUAGUCCAUGCCGUAAACGUUGGGCACUAGGUGUGGGGGACAUUCCACGUUUUCCGCGCCGUAGCUAACGCAUUAAGUGCCCCGCCUGGGGAGUACGGCCGCAAGGCUAAAACUCAAAGGAAUUGACGGGGGCACAAGCGGCGGAGCAUGCGGAUUAAUUCGAUGCAACGCGAAGAACCUUUACCAAGGGCUUGACAUGAAACUCGGAACGGCGCA
RNAcentral lists this ribosomal RNA (931 nucleotides) under Arthrobacter tumbae. RNAcentral's name for it is "bacterial SSU rRNA". It matches the Rfam family "Bacterial small subunit ribosomal RNA", at positions 61 to 1005 of the family's 1533-position model. Lineage: Bacteria; Bacillati; Actinomycetota; Actinomycetes; Micrococcales; Micrococcaceae. The record is from RNAcentral.